This 496-nucleotide ribosomal RNA is filed under the name uncultured bacterium. Its description in RNAcentral is "partial 16S ribosomal RNA". It matches the Rfam family "Bacterial small subunit ribosomal RNA", at positions 30 to 523 of the family's 1533-position model. The record is from RNAcentral.
AUUGAACGCUGGCGGCAGGCCAAACACAUGCAAGUCGAGCGGGAUUUACCUUCGGGUAAUGAGAGCGGCGGACGGGUGAGUAAUGCUUGGGAAUCUACCUAGUAGUGGGGGACAACAGUUGGAAACGACUGCUAAUACCGCAUACGCCCUACGGGGGAAAGGGGGGGAUCUUCGGACCUCUUGCUAUUAGAUGAGCACAAGUCGGAUUAGCUAGUUGGUGGGGUAAAGGCCUACCAAGGCGACGAUCCGUAGCUGGUUUGAGAGGAUGAUCAGCCACACUGGGACUGAGACACGGCCCAGACUCCUACGGGAGGCAGCAGUGGGGAAUAUUGGACAAUGGGCGCAAGCCUGAUCCAGCCAUGCCGCGUGUGUGAAGAAGGCCCUAGGGUUGUAAAGCACUUUAAGUAGGGAGGAAGGUCUGGUAAUUAAUACUUAUCAGGAUUGACGUUACCUACAGAAUAAGCACCGGCUAACUCCGUGCCAGCCGCCGCGGUAA